Triticum aestivum (bread wheat) is the source of this 2091-nucleotide long non-coding RNA. RefSeq lists it as uncharacterized. The transcript is spliced from 4 exons. The record is from RefSeq and is a predicted model, not a curated record. NCBI's taxonomy places the organism in Eukaryota, Viridiplantae, Streptophyta, Magnoliopsida, Poales, Poaceae.
CAGGAAUCAUUGUACUCAACGGUCUCUAUUUUGUGUGCAAGUAUGUUGGCUUGAGAAGCAUCAGAACUAAAGGUUGAAUAUAAGCAAGUGUGAUUCCAACAACUACGAUAUUCUGUGAGGUCGACCUGGUGUCAUACUACUUAAUUAACUCUUGUGUGCCACCAUACCCCUGGUCGCAGUGCCCAUGACUUCAGUCCUAGCAUGUCGCAUGCCACAGCUUCUGCCACCUCAGUAUCUUCAACUUGUUGGAGUACUGGCCAACCUCAUGGAACCACAGCAUGGUUCUUCCAUCCCACCCUUUUCUUCUCAAGGAAACACACAUCAGUAUUCUUCAUAUGGUGGUGGAUACCAGAGUGGUAGUACAACAAAAAAGAUUGAUAUCCCAAAUGGAAGAAAUCAUUAUCUUUUGAAAGAUUCAAGGACGUUCGAGGAGUGACUAGUACCAUUGAAGACUUUGCUGAGCGAGGCAAGAAACCUACUUUGAUCAUGUUGAACCCAUAUUUGCAUUACACUUAGAAUUAUUUUUCAUGCAUAAAGUAUUGUUUACUAGUAUUGCUAUUAAGUAAAUUAGCUAGGGUUUAGCUAUGCCCUAUGUGCUUGAUAUUGACACCCCUUUGACAUUCUUAUGCUUAGUAAAUUAGCUAGGGUUUCGCUAUGCUCUAUGUGCUUGAUAUUGACACCCUCCUUUGAUAAUACCGUUCCUUCACCAUGUAGUGGUCACAAAUAAAUGUGGGUCAUAUGUGCAAUUUAAUAGUAUUGCUUAGCCAUGCUAGUCGCAUAAAUCAUAGGACUUGGGAAGAAUUUUUGUUACUCAUAAAUGUUUUACAAAAACCUAAGGGUGUCACUAAUGCCCAUGGUAUGAUUCUGAAAAUAAGGUUAUAUAAAAUGGAGAUGAAGUGGAGAUUUAGUUAGGUGAUUGUGACUUUGACGAGAUAGUCAAAGAUGUUUGGUGGAUUAUAAAUUCUUUAUGUAUAGUAAAUGAGCAUGGUGGUUAUUGUAUUGGCGGAUAAAUGGAUCUUCAAUAAACUUGAAGCAAUUUGGAUUUAGUUAGGCGAUUGUAAUCUUGAACCAAAUUUCAUGGUGGAUUAUAAGCUUUCGAUGCAUUUAUUUAGUUCGUUGUGAUCUUGGGGAGAUAGUCAAAGAUGUUUGGUGCAUUAAUUAAUCUUGGACAAUUUGGAUUUAGUUAGGUGAUUGUGAUAUUGAACCGUAUUUCAUGAUGAAUUAUGAGAUUUUAGGUGGAUUUAGUCACAUGAUUUAAUCUUGAGAAGAUAGUCUAAAUGUUUGGUUGAUUAUGAGAUUUUAGGUAUGGUAGAUGAGCAUGGUGAUUAUUAUACUGGUGGAUAAAUAGAUCUUUAAUUUUGUUUGGACCAUUUAGGAUUUAGUUAGGUGGUUUAGAUCUUAAACCAAAUUUCACGGUGGAUUAUGAGGUUUUGGUUGAAUUUAGUUAGGUGAUUGUGAUCUUGACGAGCUAGUAAAAGAUGUUUGGUGGAUUAUGUGAAUUUAGGUCUAGUAGGUGAGCAUGGUGGUUAUUAUAUCGGUGAAUAAGUAAUUUUUUAACAAACUUAAGAAAUUUUGGAUUUAGUUAGGCGAUUGUGAUCAUGAACUAAAUUUCAUGGUGAAUUACGAUAUUUUAGAUGGAUUUAGUCAGUUGAUUGUGAUCUAGAAGAGAUACUCGAAGAUGUUCGAUGGAUUAAUUAUCCUUUAAUAAUUUGAAUUACGUUUGGCUAUUGUGAUUGAACUGAAUUUCACGAUGAUUUAUGUGAUUUUAGGUGGAUUUAAAUAUGUUAUUAUGAUCUUGAGAAGAUGUCAAAGAUGUUUGGUGGAUUUUAAGAUUUUAGGUCUAGUAUGUGAGCAUGGGGACUUAUAUUGGUGGAUGAAUAGACCUCUAAUUUAGCUUGAAACAAUUUGAAUUUAAUUAGAUGAUUAUGGCCUUUUAACCAAAUUCAUGGUGGAUUUUGAUGUUUAGGUUGGAUUUAGUUAGGUGAUUGUGAUCUUGACGAGAUAGUCAAAGAUGCUCGAUGGGUUAUGUCAGAAUUUAUGCCUAGUCUAGUAAAUGAGCAUGGUGGUUAUUAUAUUGGUGGAUAAAUGGAU